UCCCGGGUUCAAGCGAUUCUCCUGCCUCAGCCUACCAAGAUUGACUUCUAAAGACUUUUGGUACGUGAGGAAGAAACCCAGAAGAGGAAGAGGAAAGCAAAGGAGUCAGGGAUGGCUCUUCCUCAGCACCACUGGGUUAGGGUCUCCCUGACUGAGCUGGUCUCGGCAAGUGGCGUACCUUCAUGGGGGCUCGAAUCCAGGUUGAAGGGUCACCGGAGCGACAGUUGGAAUGGAAAACUAGCUGGAGGACACCCAAGUACUCUUAAAGCAAUCCCUGUGGAGGAGUUAAUCUUCAAGGAUUGGAACCUAACUCGGUUUGGCAAAUGGAUGUCACACAUGUUCCCUCGUUUGGGAGACUAGCUUAUGUACAUGUAUGUGUGGGCACCUUUUCUCA
This 394-nucleotide long non-coding RNA is filed under the name Homo sapiens (human). Its description in RNAcentral is "HSALNT0398653". The record is from RNAcentral. Lineage: Eukaryota; Metazoa; Chordata; Mammalia; Primates; Hominidae.